CAUGCAAGUCGAGCGGUAACAGAAAGUAGCUUGCUACUUUGCUGACGAGCGGCGGACGGGUGAGUAAUGCUUGGGAACAUGACUUGAGGUGGGGGACAGCAGUUGGAAUAGACUGCUAAUACCGCAUAAUGUCUACGGACCAAAGAGGGCUUCGGCUCUCGCCUUUAGAUUGGCCCAAGUGGGAUUAGCUAGUUGGUGAGGUAAUGGCUCACCAAGGCAACGAUCCCUAGCUGGUUUGAGAGGAUGAUCAGCCACACUGGGACUGAGACACGGCCCAGACUCCUACGGGAGGCAGCAGUGGGGAAUAUUGCACAAUGGGCGCAAGCCUGAUGCAGCCAUGCCGCGUGUGUGAAGAAGGCCUUCGGGUUGUAAAGCACUUUCAGUCAGGAGGAAAGGUUAGUAGUUAAUACCUGCUAGCUGUGACGUUACUGACAGAAGAAGCACCGGCUAACUCCGUGCCAGCAGCCGCGGUAAUACGGAGGGUGCGAGCGUUAAUCGGAAUUACUGGGCGUAAAGCGUACGCAGGCGGUUUGUUAAGCGAGAUGUGAAAGCCCCGGGCUCAACCUGGGAACUGCAUUUCGAACUGGCAAACUAGAGUGUGAUAGAGGGUGGUAGAAUUUCAGGUGUAGCUGUG
Molecule: ribosomal RNA, 634 nt
Filed under: bacterium 4873K4-B3
Lineage: Bacteria
Description: bacterial SSU rRNA
Rfam family: Bacterial small subunit ribosomal RNA
Source: RNAcentral